CUUUGCUUUGAGGUUAAAUGCCAAUUUUCAGCAUAGUUAUUAACAAAUGCCACAUUUUCCUUUUUGCUUUUGUGAUUUCAGAUCUCAUUGAAAAAUGAAGAACCCGAAGGUUUUCUUUGACAUAUUGAUUGGAAAGGCAAAAUCCGGGCGUGUUGUGAUGGAAUUGUUUGCUGAUACCACUCCCAAAACUACUGAAAAUUUCCCAGCCCAAUGCACGGGGGAGAAAGGGUUUGGAGCUUCUGGGAAGCCAUUGCAUUAUAAGGGUUCGAUAUUUCAUCGCAUUAUCCCAAAUUUCAUGUGUCAAGGAGGAGACUUUACAAGGGGUAACGGAACCGGCGGAGAAUCCAUUUACGAUGCGAAAUUCUCGUCUAGCUAAAGCACACAGAGCCUGAUCUGUUAUCA
RNAcentral lists this long non-coding RNA (402 nucleotides) under Olea europaea subsp. europaea. Lineage: Eukaryota; Viridiplantae; Streptophyta; Magnoliopsida; Lamiales; Oleaceae. The record is from RNAcentral.